This is a long non-coding RNA of Capsella rubella, 919 nucleotides long. RefSeq lists it as uncharacterized. NCBI's taxonomy places the organism in Eukaryota, Viridiplantae, Streptophyta, Magnoliopsida, Brassicales, Brassicaceae. The record is from RefSeq and is a predicted model, not a curated record. The transcript is spliced from 2 exons.
UUUUCAACCAUUACCUGUUGAUGUUGUUAGAUCUGAGGUCUAUUCUCAAAUCCGAAUCCUUCGAUCUCUUCUCUUAUUCCAUCACAACCUUCUAGGGUUUUAAGCCUAGCUAUAUAUAUAACCCUUCAUAAAGAGAACUCUUAUUCAUCUCUCUAUGAUCUCUUUCUCUCUCUCAGUACCAAUAAAUAUCACCACCUUCCUUCUCUUCCAUCACUAUUCCAUUUAUUACAAGACUCCUUUGUGUCUCUCUUCUCUUCGUGUAGUAAAUACAAUCUCCUUGAAGAACAUUGGAAACAGACCGGAUCUUUCAACUUUUGUUCCUUUUCAUGAGGGUUUGACUAAGAGUUUCUUACAGACUUCUUUGGCAUUCUGUCCACCUCCUUCUAUACAUAUCUGCAUGUAUAUAUAUAUGCCAUUUUGUGUGGAAGAAGGAGGUGGGUAUACUGCCAAUAGAGAUCUGUUAGGGUUUCUUCGUAAAACCCUCUUGAUCGAUAUAUAACUUUAUCAAUAUCUUGAAUCUGACGAUCUUGUUUUGUUUUUGUUGACGAUGACGAGCUUCCAUGAUUGAGUGUGUAACAUCUGGACUAUAUCGUAAGAAGGUUGACUAGUGCGAGGUUCAUAUGUUUCGGCUUCUAGGAAAAAGGUUAAAACACUAGUAAGAAAAAGAGACUAGGACCCAGAAUUUCAAAAAGGUAAUCAAGGUUUUGUUUUACUUUGAGAAAUGGUAAUGUGGGAAAGGAGAGCAUCUUGUUUUUGAAGUCCACGGUGUUAUUAUGAUGUUCCCUUUGUUCUAUUUGAAGUCGAAGACACAGUAUUAGAGAUUACGUGUACUCCUUCAUUUGGUAUCAUUUCUGACCUAUAUAUACAAAGCUAUAUUCUGAUCAAGAUGAGUUGGAUAUAAUGCAUAUUUGUUCCUUGA